This 490-nucleotide ribosomal RNA is filed under the name uncultured bacterium. RNAcentral's name for it is "partial 16S ribosomal RNA". It matches the Rfam family "Bacterial small subunit ribosomal RNA", at positions 29 to 507 of the family's 1533-position model. The record is from RNAcentral.
AGUGAACGCUGGCGGUAGGCCUAACACAUGCAAGUCGAACGGCAGCACAGGAGAGCUUGCUCUCUAGGUGGCGAGUGGCGGACGGGUGAGGAAUACAUCGGAAUCUGCCCAGUCGUGGGGGAUAACGUAGGGAAACUUACGCUAAUACCGCAUACGACCUUCGGGUGAAAGAGGGGGAUCGCAAGACCUCUCGCGAUUGGAUGAGCCGAUGUCGGAUUAGCUAGUUAGCGGGGUAUUGGCCCACCAAGGCGACGAUCCGUAGCUGGUCUGAGAGGAUGAUCAGCCACACUGGAACUGAGACACGGUCCAGCCUCCUACGGGAGGCAGCAGUGGGGAAUAUUGGAGAAUGGGCGCAAGCCUGAUCCAGCCAUACCGCGUGGGUGAAGAAGGCCUUCGGGUUGUAAAGCCCUUUUGUUGGGAAAGAAAUCUUUCAGGCUAAUACCCUGAGAGGAUGACGGUACCCAAAGAAUAAGCCCCGGCUAACUUCGUG